Amphiprion ocellaris (clown anemonefish) is the source of this 972-nucleotide long non-coding RNA. RefSeq lists it as uncharacterized. The transcript is spliced from 2 exons. The record is from RefSeq and is a predicted model, not a curated record. Lineage: Eukaryota; Metazoa; Chordata; Actinopteri; Pomacentridae.
GCAGCCAUGCUUUGCAGAGGCUACAGCAUCGCUCUCAUUGGUAGUAUCAGCUUCUCGCCAAACGGAGUCUUUGCCUGCUCGCCUGCUACACCGACAGGAAAAAAAAACGGGAAUACAAGAAGUCCACGAUGCAAAGACCUGCAGUAAAGCAACACUUCUUAAAAUGAGGUGAAAGAUAAAGAGCAGAGCGCGGAUAAAUAUUCGCAGAGCAAAGUGCGCUGGGAUCCACCAUAUGGCGUGGAGCAAAUCCUGGUGCAUUAUGGGAUAACGGAGGACUUUUACGCUUUCUGCAGUUUGGAACUCGACGUAGACGCAUCACACGGAGUCCUUUUCCGCCUUCCAAAGCGACCUGGGACGUAUAAUUAUUUUGCCCUCCGUAAAACUACCUCCUGGGUGUUUUGCGUAAAAGUCAGUCCUAUAACCUAACCCAUUUUUGAUUUUUUUCCAAUGUAAGGUAGGCCUGUACAACAGCCGGCAGAGGAUUUGAUCUGUUUUUGCAAGAUGCUUUGGGAUUUUUUUUUACCUCCACUUUUGGCCAAACUUGACAUCCAAAAUAUAUUUUUUAGUCAUACAACACAGGCCUUGGAGGCUGCAAAAUAGGUACAUUUGUAGUAACACAGAAAGGUUUGAGGUGUCUUCCAUUUUUUUCCCCACAGUAGAGUGAAUGCAGCUGAUGGACGAACACACACUUACACACUCACACACAGAUAGAAAGACGAGCGGGUUGUGUCUCUCCGUGUUCACAGCGGACCUUGAUUUAAUGUCUUACAAUUAAGGCACGCGGUGAAUGCCAAGAGAUGAUCCUCCUUUCUUCGCAUGUCUGCAGACACAAGAAAUAAAUCAUGAAAUCUUUACACCACUGGUUAUAUAUUUUUUUACAUUUUGGUAAGAAAAGGUUUGCUUCUGUGUUUCCAACUGUUACGCAUUAUUCCUGUACUGUCUCUUUCAUCAAUAAAGCAAAUACGCACAAGG